GCCCUUGUAGCUCAGUUGGUAGAGCACAACAUCGGUAAUGUUGAGGUCUGCAGUUCGAUUCUGCACAAGGGCU
This 73-nucleotide transfer RNA is filed under the name Treponema bryantii. Its description in RNAcentral is "tRNA-Thr". It matches the Rfam family "tRNA". Rfam says of the family: Transfer RNA (tRNA) molecules are approximately 80 nucleotides in length. Their secondary structure includes four short double-helical elements and three loops (D, anti-codon, and T loops). Lineage: Bacteria; Pseudomonadati; Spirochaetota; Spirochaetia; Treponematales; Treponemataceae. RNAcentral also lists the same sequence under 1 other name. The record is from RNAcentral.